Aedes albopictus (Asian tiger mosquito) is the source of this 16845-nucleotide RNA transcript. RefSeq lists it as uncharacterized. The record is from RefSeq and is a predicted model, not a curated record. NCBI's taxonomy places the organism in Eukaryota, Metazoa, Arthropoda, Insecta, Diptera, Culicidae. The transcript is spliced from 18 exons.
UUAUUUGAAGAAUAAACAUUUGAGAGAAGCUUCGUCUUAGUGUUCUAGUACUGCAUUGAUUUGUUUCGACCUUUGUGAUUUGAUCUUAAACGACGAAAUGUUAAAUGAAUAGUUUCUUACAAGACACACAGAUUAAAAUCUGGUACAAUUCAUCAGUUUGUAUAAAAAUUCUGGUUAGUACAAGCCGUCGUGACUAGUUUAUCAAUAAUGUUUACUGUUGUUUCAAUAGUUCUCAAUAAUUACAUCUGUUUUUUUAAUGCCUCCUCAGUCAAACGAAGAUAUGCCGGAGCCCAGAUCGAGUACCGAGGCGGAGACGUGACGUUUUCGCCGAGCUGCCGUGGUAUGCCAAAAAUGACUCUGGAAGGGUACGUCUACAUUCGGAACGCUGGAAAUGCUACCAAGACGUACUGGCUUUGCGAGCGUGGAAAGCGAUUCAAGUGUCGCGCCCGUGCGAUAACUUAUCGAGGCACGGGGCGUAUUACCAUCAACGAACACUCCCACAAUCACAUGCCGGGGUUUUAGGAAAAAACUGCGUGGGUGGAACUGAAUUCUAUGAUAAAAUGUACUCCGUUUUGCCAUACAUGAAUUUCGUAGUACUAGAUCAGUGCCGUGCAUUUAUCACUAUCAUGCCGUUUCAGAUUCUCUAACUUCUCUAGUACUUUAUCAGUUACCUAGCUCAUUUCAAAUGUCUCAAAUCCAACCAUCAACAUACUGCUAUUCAAAAAAAGGACAACGCGACCCGAAACUGAUCUUCGAUGGAUAUUCUUUGUACAGAAAUAGAUAAAAGGAAACGUGCUACUUCAAAUUGAACACGAACGGUGUGUUUUGAAAUCUAAAAAAUAAAUAUGCCAGAGAAGCAUCGUCUUAGCGUUCUAGUACCCAAUUGUCAUGUUUCUACUUAAGUGACCUCAGACAACGUAAUAUGAAAUGGAAAAUUAGUUGCAUGAUACACUGAUUGAAAUCAGGUACAAUUCUUCAGUUUGUGUGAAUUACUUGUUACAAAAAAAGUAUUCGGUAUUAAGUAUCGUGACUAGUUUCAUUGAUGGUUCUUAUAAUAGUCGAAAUAAUUCUCUAUAAUAAUAUGCAUUCUUUUCUCCUCAGUCAAACGAAGAUAUGUCGGAGCCCAGAUCGAGUACCAGGCAGAGGCGUGACGUUUUCGAUCAGACGAGGUCGUCGUUGUAUGCCCAAAAUGACGCUGGAAGGGUACGUGUACAGACGGAAUGCUGGCAAUAGGAGGCAAUCAGUGAAGUACUAGAUUGAAAGUAGUGAGCUGGAUUUUUGUAUGGUGAGAUGUUCAAUUCUCCAUUAGUGCAAUGAAAUGGUUCAAACAGCGUGGGUAUUAUGAUUUCUUGACUAAUUUGAUGCUGUUUGAGCAAAAGUUUGAGUAACUGUGUUGUUGAAGUUGCAUGAAAUAAAUAAUACAACAACAAAGUUACCCAAACUUUUGCUCAAACAGCAUCAAAUUAGCCAAGAAAUCAUAUAACCCACGCUGUUUGCACCAAUUCAUUGCAAAAAUGGAGAAUUGAACAUCUCACCAUACAAAAAUCCAGCUCACUACUUUCAAUCUAGUACUUCACUGAUUGUCUCCUAUGCUAUCAAAACGUACUGGCGUUGCGAGCGUGAAAAGCGGUUCAAGUGUUGCGCCCGUGCGAUAACGUACCGAGGUACGGGGCGCAUUAUCAUCAACGAACAUUGCCACAAUCAUAUGCCGGAAUUUUAGGGAAAAAUGGCAUUAAUGGAAUAAAUCCGAUGAUAAAAUAAACUCCGUUUUUGCCAUACAUUUAUUUCGUAGUACUAGAUCAAUGGCGUUCAUUUGUAACUAACUUCCCGUUUCAGAUACCCGAACUGCUCUAGUAUCCAAUAUUCACAUUGACCUCGUUCAUUCCAGAUACCUCGCAUCCAACCCUCAACAGACUGCUUUUCAUCAAAGGACAACGUGGCCCGAAACUGAUCUUCGAUGGAUAUUCUUUCAACAGAAACAAAGGCCAUGGUCAAACCACCUACUGGCGGUGUACGAAACAUCAAUCGCUCGGCUGCAAAGCCAAAUUGGUUACCACAAAUCUGGGCAAAAAGAUUUCCAUCGGUACUCCGGUUCACUGUCACAAGGCUGAUUACGGUCAGCUGAUCUGAAUAUCGGACGGAAUGAAACAGGCUGGGAAGGGUUCGGACGAUAUUUGAAACAGUAAUUGAAAUGUUGUACUAGAUUCUUGGAACUGACCUUUGAUAAUGUGUUUUCCAUGCUUUUGCGGUUCCUGCGGUUUCAGCCAUUAUGUAAUGCUUUGUAGAUCACUAUGGUAACUGUAGUACAGCCUUGAUUAAGUGUCAAUAGGAAGCAAUCAGUGAAGUACUAGAUUGAAAGUAGUGAGCUGGAUUUUUGUAUGGCGAGAUGAUCAAUUCUCCAUUUCUGCAAAGAAAUGGUGCAAACAGCGUGGGUUAUAUGAUUUAUUGACUAAUUUGAUGCUGUUUGAGCAAAAGUUUGGAUAACUGUGUUGUUGAAGUUGCAGGAAAAAAUAAUACAACAACACAGUUAUUCAAACUUUUGCUCAAAUAGCAUCAAAUUAGCCAAUAAAUCAUAUGACCUACGCUGUUUGCACCAUUUCAUUGCAGAAAUGGAGAAUUGAUCAUCUCACCAUACAAAAAUCCAGCUCACUACUUUCAAUCUAGUACUUCACUGAUUGCCUCCUAUUUUGGUGCAUUUUUUGCGAAAUUAUAUAUCAGAUGUUUUCAUCUAGUACUGCGUUUAAGUUUUCUUCAAAGAUGCAGAGCUUUGCGAUCAAUUUUUGCGUUGUGUUAUUUGUGUAUCAUGCCCGCUUAACAAAACAAAAAAUGUUCAUUUCAGAUCCACCGAAUCCUGCUCACAACAGGCUGCUGUUUAUAGUGGGACAGCGCGGUCGAAAGUUGGUAUUUGACGGAUUUUCUUUUCACAUAGACAGACACCGAAACGAGUUCAUCUAUUGGCGUUGCUCAAAGCAUUCUUCGCUUGGUUGCAGGGCAAGAUUGAAAACCACAAAUAAAGGUAAAAAAGUAUCCACCGGUACGCCGGUGCAUUGUCACGCUCCCGAUAUUGGCUCACUGAUUUGAAACACGUGAGAGGCCAUAAAAACUGAUUAUUUGAGCUUUGGGCUCAAGAGUGAAUUUGUAAUAAAAACUUCUAUGGACUGAGAGACAAUAAAAAAUACAAGGUUACACCGCUAAAUGACAGACACAGUAAUGUAAUCUUAAGACAUUAAUACUAAUGAUUGAAUAAAAACUAGUACUACAGUGGCUUGUUGAGACCUUUUGGAAGCCUUUAAGUCAUCUGAGAAAAUUGUCUUAGGAUGGAACUGUCUAGAACAUCAGGGUUAUGGGAUAUUCGAAAAAAAAAACAAACUAGUACUGAAAAACUUUUCCUUGAGGUUCUACUUGUUAUGAGUAGUGCAAAUGUAUUUUGACAUUUAUUUCUAGUUGUACUUCUAGUAUUUUUAUCGUAAUGCUAGAAAUGAUUGAACUGUGAAGUUUGAAUCAUGCAUACCAAUUUUGUUUGCAACGUGCCUAUGAACAUUUUGAAGUACUAGAUUGAAAAUUUUAACUUGCGGAUACAUUAGCUUUGCUCAUCCGUAAUAUAACCUACGUGUGAAUUCACUAUUAUCACUUGAUUACCCUUGUUACUGGACGCUCUAGUACUUCAAUGUGGAUAUUUAAUGUGUAUUGAUACUGAGAUUUCGGUGGAUUUUAUAGAACAUUUGUGGGAGUCUGAAUUAGAGGUGUAUUUUAAUACUGGAUUAUAUUCAAUGAAUAUUAUCUGCAAAAGAUACCAAGUUUAUAUACGCUGCCAAUAUAUUUGAGAAACUGUGGAUGACAAAUAGUGUUUCGUGAAAUUAGACAUGACAUUAUCCGAAAUCGUGUUUCUAUAACAAACAAUAAAGUGAUAUUUUACAAGUUUUUAUGUUUUGUGUUCAUUUUCACGAAUAAGCAAGUCACGUAUGGUUGUGCAAUGAUCUAACAUCUCUUCUUAUCGUUAUUUCAGAUUUCAAACAAUACUUCAGCGAACUGACACCAACUGCGACAAAGAAGCCGACUGUCAUUACCCUGGACAACCAAGAGUUGGAUUUCGUGCCCGGUCAACGUGGUACCAGUUUGCUCCGGAUCAACAACUAUUGCUACGCAAAAAAUAACAAAUCACAAAACUCGACCUACUGGGUGUGUCGUACCAGAGUGCAACACCGGCCGUGCAAUGCUCGAGUCGUUACCACGCUGAAAAGCAACGGACUGUAUCGGAUCGUGAUCACCAAUCCGGUGCACAUCCACGAGCCGAACAAAUACAGUGCCUAUAGAAGUGUUGGGCAGGUCAGGAGGAGACCCAAACUGGUGGCACCGAAGUCGGUGCUGGAGGAAAUUUUCACUUUCACGUUUGAUUCGGACUAGAACUGGAAUGAGGUAAAGUAAAAUGCUUUUAUUUUGUUUUGGUUUUGCAACCAAAAUAAAGAUUUUUUUAAAUACUGGAAGUGCCAUAACGUCAUACCAUUCAGUACAACCAGUACUAAUAUAAGGUGAUUCCUUACUGAUACUGAUGGAUUAUGCAGUACUAGAAUAAACUUAAGUUUUCUAGCCGAAACUCCUACACUGUUUGCAAACUUUUGUACCCCUUAGACUGUCGUCGGUGGUUGCUUAACUGAGCUUAGUUGCAGUACAAGAGUGAGUUGAGGCGAAUUACAAGUGUUAAAGCAACAGUCCCUGCUCGAUCACACCACCUCAACUGGAUCAUGUUAAAAUAUACUUGUUUAGUCCGAUGAACAAUAAAAUAAAAACUACUCUGUUGAUAGAAAUGAGUUUGAUUUGACUGCUUUGAGCAUGUGCGUUACCUUCUUGAUUAUUGAACCCAUGGAAUUAUUUUUAUCGUUCUAGAUUUCAGCCAGCUUGAACUUAAUUAUGAAAUCAACCAAAAGGGCUUUCUAAAAGAGGCGCGUAAGAACACAAUUCGUUUGCGGUGUAAACACUACAAUGAUGUGCGUUACAAAUGUGCCGCCCGGGCUACGUCCGUUAAUGAGCCCAAUGGCAAACUUAUUUCCUACAAUGGCGAACACAAUUAUGGAAUCAUAGGAAACAGACAAAGACGAAGCGAUCGACAGCGAAUUGGAGCGGAAUGAUGAGCAGAAUUUUCGGAUCAAUUUGUGUUCAUCAAGUCAGAAUUAACUAUUUCCCCGAAUAAAGCUGUGUGCGAUACUGUAAAAUUGUAGUUCGUGUUUGAUUCUGAGUUGAAGACUCUGUCGUUAUACUAGAAUGCUAAUCAUUUGUAUGUCUUUCAGCAAAAAAUGACGUAGCCUAUGUGCAGACAAAACAAGGUAUACAACUAUCGAUCAAUAAUUAUUUGUUCAAACCAUGGAAAUCGGUAAACAACGUAGGAUUAUGGCAGUGUCUUCAGUUUUCUGAAUAUGACUGCCCGGUACAGGCUAGCACGGAACGAACCAAGGAUGGAAAACAAGCUCGCAUUUCAAUUCAAGGGCAGCACAAUCACCCCGUUUUCAGAGAUCAUUCCAAAAACGUCACAAUGCGACCAGUUAUGAAAACCUACAGUAGAAAAAAACUCUAAUCCUCAAAAGGAAUAUCAAAUUGCUGCUAUUUGUGGUCAACAUUGUGAAGAAAAAAUAAAUUCCCAACUUCUCUACUCAUGUCUAGCUUUCUCAGUUUAAAAGUGGCAGCACUGAUUGACACGGUUCAAACCAUUCGCUUACUAAUACAACGAAUUUCAUUUCAGUUCUUGAUGUGGACAAUCCAACCGUCCAAUACAUUGCGACCAACAAAUCGCGUAGAUUGAUAAUAAACGGCUACUCUUUUACGCGCAAAAAGCUAACUGACCGGUACACAAUCUGGGAGUGUUGCCAAUCGAGACCGCUAGGAUGCAAGGCUGCGGUCACAACCUAUCUGUACAACGCCGGUGCAGUAAGCAUUCGUGGAUCGCACAAUCACGCCGUCGUAACGGAACGACGGAGAUUAGGCCAGCGAAAGCAGCUGAUGGAGGAACGUCAGCGAGAGAGAAUACGUAGGAAAACUAAAAUAGAGGAAGCGACAGUUUAACUUCAACUUUAAGGAAGUGCUUCUUAAUCUCGAAAUUCUACAAAAUAUGGAGUAAUUUUAAAUAAACUGCUGACCCGAAAAAAGUUUUGAAAUAAAAUAGCGAAAAAAUUUUAAGGACGAGAAGAACUUGUAAUACAGUCAAUGGAAGUAGAGACACAAAUUCACAGAAUUCACCAUUUAAUCCCUUCUCAAAUAACAGUUGUUCUAGUCUGCAGUCAAUGUCCAUUUAGGUCUUCAACUUCUCCAAAACCCCCUUCAUAUUUCAGAAGCCUUGGCACACCGCGCAACGCAACUCAAGGCUACUCUGCGUCAACUGAAACGGGAUCAGAACCGCCGACGAUCACCAACUCGCUCGGAAAGAAUCCGCCAAGUGCAACGGCUGAUCCGACAGCUGGAUAGUCAAUUCCGUCAGAUAUCCGACCAAAACUUGAAAAAGACUGUAAGAGUAAACGGUUUCACGUUUCCCCUGUCCUGCGAAGAGGACAUCGAGCGACUUGAACGGAUGGUGCAACGAAAUCCGAGCAUUCGCGAGCAGUUUGUGAACUAUCUGUGCAAGCGGAAAUCAUUUAGUGACUCUGUCGAAAAAUGUUUUGGAAACUUUUUCACCGAUGAGGCCAUGUUGCGCUACAACUGGAGAGGGCUCGAUCGUGAUCAGUGCCCACGGAAGGCCAUGAUGAAUUACAGCAUUUUUACGGAUUGUAUGGUCGAUGCUUGGAGCUCCCACGGAGUAUCGAUGCAAAUGAUUCAUAGUGAAUUAAGGAAAGCUGUCUUCAAGAUUGGAACUAGGCAGUAUUCAAACAAGUGUGACAGGAAACAUAGAUUUUCGGAAAGGACGUGUGAUUUUAAAUGAUUUUUUUUUUAAAUUCACACGAAGCAAAUCUAACAGCCAUAACUUCAAUAAUGUUUCAUGAUUUCAGAUUACUACAAAUUUACAAGGAAUUAAACUCAUGAACCGGUAAGUAUAUAGAACUGUCGCCAUAUAAAACAAAAUUUUUAUCAUUAUAUUAAAAUUUUAAUUGAGAUGUUUUUAUUCCAGACAUACCAAACAAACUCCGAUUAAAUACACUCGAGGAACGCCAGCGAAAGCAAAUACGUAGGAACAUUAAAAUAUAGAAAGCAACAAUUUAACUUUAUGAAAAGUGCUUCCUAAUCGCAAAAUUUUACAAAAUAAGCAUUUUUUAAAUGAACUGCUAUAUUCGAAUUAGAACAGAACAAAUAAACUGAAAUUCCUUUUGUGGUUUGUGUGCUUCUACUUCGUUUAGUCCACACAGUAUCUGUGUAUAAUUAUUUUUAUUUACAGAUGUAACAAUGCAAGAAGUACUGCACAACCAAUUCUAUAAGUUAUCAAAAUCACUCAAACGACAUAUCUGAUUUUAUCACUAGAAAUUCAAGUGAAUGCUUUUUUACAGCAGUGUGGAGUGGUGAACUAAUCUGUGACAAACUGUUUGUCUCAUUUACUCUGUUGUUUACGCAUGUCUUUGCACUCGUAGCAGAAAACGGAACCGAACCUCAUGUCCAGUAUACGAUCAGUAGUCGUGGAACUCCGCUGCUAUUGCUCGACGGGUUCACCUUUACCAGGGAUAAGGAACGUAACAGUUUUACCUCGUGGAAAUGUGCCCAACAUCGUACGCACAGCUGCAAGGCUCGUGCCAACGCCGUCCGGGAUCGCAGUGGCCAAAAGAAAAUCGUAAUCAAACACUCGCACAACCAUCCGCUCGUAACCGAGCGAAGAAAGAAAAGUUCCUCUAGAUAAAUAAAUGCGCUACUUCUAGUACCUCAGCCAUAGCUAACCGACAACUGAGUUUUUUCAUUGAUUAUUUUGUUGUUUUUUUUUUUUCAAAAUAAUGUUUGCUUCACAAUCUUAUUUGUUCUUUUAUAUUACCUUGAAGCAAUAUUCUGAAAUUAUAGUAUUAUUUUCGAAUUAUCUGUAUUGUCACGGUCGCCAUGUACUAUGUUGUUCUCUUGUCUUCAACAUUUUUCCAAAGCCAUGGCCAAUUCGAAAGCCAAAAAGGGCUUUUCAAAUUCAGCCUUGCAAUUGACAUAAUCUAGUACAACAGCAGUCUUCAAUAACUCUUGUGGUGAUCUUUUUGCUCAACAUCUGAACUUCUCAAAUUCUGACUCGGCAUGAUGUGCAUCAGAUGUACAAUGAGCUGCCAAUUUUUAGUUAAUGGAAUGGUAUUUUUUCUACCUCAACAAAUUGUCACGCAUGCAUAACCUCUUCAAUUUCAAAAUGUUGUUUAAGCUCUUGCUCUAGCUGAGAAAAAAACAUGUCGGACCAAGAUUGUCAAUAUACCUAAACUUGGACGAUCAUUCAGUAGUAUUCAAGUACUUCAGUGAUUAUCUUUUGUAUGUUUUCUAUGCUGUCUUAGCACAUGCAGACAAGACAUAAUGUACAUUAUUCACACCAUAAACUGUUAAUUUCCACUCGAAAAGUAGUUAUCUAGUACCUCAAUGUAAAGCUUCUAAUCAUAUCAUACAAUUUUCCCCAGCACCAGUAACCUAUACGGUGAACAAUCGUGGCAAUCGACGAAUAUGUCACCUGGGAUACCUUUUCGAUGCGGAGAAAAGACGACACAAAUCCACCAGUUGGCGAUGCUGCCAGGCAAAGAAGCUUCAGUGUAAGGCUCGGAUAGUCGAGCGAAUCUCAAAGUGGGGCGAGCCAUCAUAUGAAUUUGUGCGGUCUGUGCACAAUCAUGGUGUUGAUCCUGGUGACACGCUGCUGGGAUUAAGCUUCAAACUUUAAGAAGCAGUAAAUAAAUUAUUUUUUUAUUAGUUGAAAAUGUUUCCUUUUUAUAUUAAAACAUUCCUAGGUAUUAAUUGAAAUAAGUAUUCUAGUACUUCGUUUUUAUGUCUGUUCAUUUCAUAACUUACUUUGGAGCAGUUUGUAACGAUAUUUUGUAAUUCAACAGAUGUUACCGAAGUACAAUACGUGUUGAGCGCUCGUGGAGGCUUACAGCUAUGCAUCGAUGGCUUCCGCUACACACGUGAUCGGAUUAAAGAUAACAAAAUUAUCUACCGUUGCGUGCACUACAAACCCUUAGGAUGCAAAGCACGUGCCCACACCGAUAAGGAUGACCCCAAGGUAAAGAUUAUCGAGAUGGAACACAACCAUCCACUGAAGAUGGACCGCCGAAAAAGUGGAGCCCUGAGACAGCUACUGGAGCAACGCAAACAGGAAAAUCGAGCGGCGGGUGGGCGUGCAAGUCGAAAAAAGUGAUGGCGAUCUGUUUUUCGGCGAUAAUCUACUACUUCCUGCUUAUUGUAGGGACUUCGUUUGGUAUAUUCAAUUUGAAAGAGCAGUUGAAAUCGGUUGAAUACUGAGAUUUUAAAAGCGUCGAAGCGUCUACAAUCUAGUACUACAAUCUGAAAAUCAGGAAUCUGCUGGUAGUUUAUUUGUAAUCAUUUAUUCUUAGAGACGUCUUCAUGGUAGUUUAUUCUGGUUGAUGAAUAAAUCAAUAAAGCAACUAUGAUUAAUAUGUUGAUGUAUGUCUAAGCUUAUGAGACAAAAAAUCAGUUAUUUUAGUACAGUCAGGUACUUCGUCUUGAAAUAAUCACAUUCACAUCCAAACAAUUGCAGAACUAAGCAUAUCGCCUGUCCCACGACCAGUAAGGACGAUUACUACGAAGCUAUUCCGUGUUCAACAGAGCAAACCGGUUAUUGUCGCUGCCGUCGAGGGGUUUGCCUUUCCGCUACAAUCAGAAGAGGAAGUGGACCGUUUGGAGUACACCGCUCGAAGAGAUCGGAUCAUUCGUGAUCAAUAUGUAGCGUUGUUGCAGGAAGUCAAACCUCACCAUCAGGAUCCAUCCAAUGUUUUUGCAGACCUGUUUUCCGACGAGGCACUUCUGGGAUACAACUAUUACGGGAAAACGAACCGGGCGAAGAAGAAGAAAGCCAUGCGGAAGUAUAUCAUAUUCACCGAUUGUAUGGUUGAUGCAUGGCUUUCGCAUGGGGUUACGGAAGAAAGUUUAAGAAUAUCCAUCGUUAGGGUCAUUGCCCGACUUAACCACAAAGUACGUAGCAGAGGAUAUCGAAGAAACCCUUCAAGCGUUACAAUGCAGGAUGGUGCCGAAGUCGGGGAAGAACUUUAUUGAAAGAAGUGUGAAAAUUUUCCAGCGAUGCUAAGAAGUAAUGAUUUGUUAUGGUGCAGGAAGUUUCCAUGGUUAAGAUCAUUCCGUAAAGAACACUGCAGUACUAGAUUGCAACAUCUUGGAAUCGAUAAACGACUCUUGAAUCAAUCUGUUCAUUAAGUUUUAAUUUGCAUACUACAUACAUUAGGGAAAACGCCUGCAUUUACUCAACUAUGCUAAUAUUUCUUUUACAAAAUCGUCGACAAUAUUGAACGCCUGGAAAACACCGUCCAUGGAAAAUCAGUCAUCUUCAAAAAUAAGUGAAAUUAUUCCCAAAUUUUAGUACUGCGAUGUGAACUUGGAAUAUUUGAAAUGCAAAUGAUGACUGCCAACGUUAGAAUAAACAUAAUUUUAUUAUUAUAAUAAAACAGUAAACAUUGGACUAAUAUUUUGUUAUAUAUCUACAGAGAUUAUCAGUUGAGCCUCUAAUACCUAAUUGUAUAAACUUUUUCAACUCCCACAGCGUGCAAGUGUCAUACAUCUAAACCGAAGAAGCAAACUGAGCAAUGGUUCACUGUCGAUGCGUUUCAGUACGUAGAGAAUCGCAAGGGUAAUCUCAAUCUUUUCUACCAAGGCUACGAGUAUUUACGGAGACGUGUUGCCGACCAAGCAACCAUGUGGGAAUGUAACAAGAAGAGAACCUGCGGGGCACGAGCCGUAACCCGAAACGGCAAUCAAAUCAAGCUUAACAAGUUUCAACACAAUCAUCCGCAUUCGCGACUGGCACGUGGUCCGGUUAUUGUACCCGCCGUUAAUCCGAUGCCGAUCAUGUACAAGGACGAGCCUCUGGAUUUGAAUGCUCUUGACGAGGCGAUUUCGUAGAGUGCUUAGUAACAGUUAUAUCUGUCAAAGCAUGCUGUAUUAUUAUAAUCUAGUACUUUCUAAAUUUGGGCUAACAACAAACAAAUAGUUAACAACAAAUAAAUAAAUAAAUCAAACAUUUCGUCUGAAAUCUAGUACUUCAUUUCAACCAGUACACCAACCUUUAAGAACGUCACUAAUCAAUUUCAUGAUUUCCAUUCCAGAUUUCUACGUUCGGUACGUGACCGGAUUCAGGGGCAGUCGCAAAUUGAAAGUGGGCGAGUUCAGCUUUACCAAAAACAAGGAGUGUGCAAACAAAACGUACUGGUCCUGCGCCAGGGCCGGCAUGGACAAAUGCAAAGCGCGGGUGCUGACCUAUACGCUGAAAAAUGGCGAAGAGAAUCUGGUGGUACGCUAUCCCACGCAUAAUCACGGACCGUUCUAGUACUGCACUGUAUGAUAACAUUAGCCAAUGGAAGCAAGCAUUUAGAUUAUGGAAUCAAACUGAUUUAGCACAACAUAUUUGCUUGAAGGAUUCCUGUGGCUGGUAGAACGAUGAUUUCCAUUCUCGAUCAUGAAAUAUUACAUCCAAUCAAUGAUCUUUUUAGCGGAAUAUGAAAACUGCCUUGCUCAGCACGAGUUUCAUGCAGCAAUUUCAACCUCAAAUACUUCCGUCGUCGCCUCAGUUUAGCUUUAAAACAUCCCAACGGAGCGGCCGUCAUCUGCUGGUGGUAAAUGGGGUAACAUUCUUCCGGAAUCGCCAUCGCAACAACAAGCAGUACUGGAAGUGCAACCAGUACUACAAGUGCAAAUGCCCGUGCAUUGUCGUGAUUGAUGAGAUCAACUCGCGCAUGAACGUAAAGCAUGUUCACAACCACGACAACACGUCGGGUACCGCCGGUGGUGGUGGUAGUAGGAGAAAUAGUCUUCUUCCGCCGAUGUUAGAUCCAAGUACUUCGGCCCUGGCAGGAUCAUUUCUUAACGAUAGUCUACUGGUUGGAAGUAGCAGUGCACUGGCUGCCGCUGCUUCAUUUGCCCAAACUGUGCAAUCUAGGGGGUUAAUGGAUAAAAGAUAAUAAAAUAUGAUUAUUACGGAAUGCGACUUUUUCGAUGCAAUUUUUCAAUCUAGUACUACAUUUCAUAUUGUCAUCUCAAACAGUUCGAAUAACAUUCUCCUAUCUUCCAGCAGUUCUCAACAGAAGACGCUCCAAAGUCUACGCAAACAACCUGGAGCAGAAGAUGUCGGACAUGGAGGUAGCCCGGUUUGGGCUUAGUCAACGCAAGGCCAAGAAGCUGCUCUACCGGGGGUUCGAGUACGUUAAAGAUCGAGACUUCCCCGACUCGACUAAUUGGCGGUGUGCUUUGUUCCGGCGCCAGAAAUGCCGCGCUCGUGCGAUAACCACUGCCAUCGAAGGCGUUACCUACGUAAGGCUGACCAACGACCAACACAAUCAUGAUUAACAAAUGUAUCGCAAGGCUUCGCUACUAAUGCCAAGAGAGGGCCAAUGAAUAGGCGGGAGGCCGUUUUGUUAAAUAAGAUUAGUCAAAUUCUGUGAAUCCCUCUAGUCUUCCAGUACUUUCUAGUACUUACAAUAUCACGCUGCUAUGGACAAAUAGAUUGUUUACGAAAUGAUUGUUUCAGUAACUACUGGAAUUUAAGCUAAGUUCAUUAAUAAUUACACAUUUUAUAAUUAUUUGUUGCAGGUUGGAACACGAAUACACGGAGUUCUGCUAGCCACAAAAGCAAGAACAAGUCCAGAUUUGUAGGUAGGUCAAUGUACAGUAAUUAAAUUAAGAUCGAAUGAUCAGAUUUUAAAAACAAUUUGACGAAUAAGAAUAUUCUGUCACACACACUUUAACCCAAGUAACAUUUUUUAGUCAAAUAGACUUGAGAGGUUCUAAGAGCAAUCAUAAUAAUAAAAGGGAUGAGGUUUUAUGAUGGUUCUUCAUCUACAGGACUAAUAAAUCAUUAAAAUGUUAGUUGAGACACACUUUUCAUUCAAACAAUUAAUUAUAUAUGCAAUCCUGCGUAUUUUUCGCCACAUUUUCAAAGGCAACGUAUGACAGUGACGUUCACUUUUUCAUGAUGCAUGUGGACGUUUCAACUUUCAUUGACAGUAGAACUAAUUUUCCACGUAAGAUGGCUAACAUAACUCUUGAAAGAUGUACCUUUCAAAGUAACUUCGGAAACCGUUUAGUUAGUACAUAAUUUGAUCUGCAGUAAAGUGAAAUUCUGAAGACAUUUAUUAAAAAUUAGGCUAAAUCUAUUGCAGUUCCAUUCAAUGUAAAUUCAAUCCAACUGUUGCCGCGAAUUGGGAAGUGUUUGAGUGAAACUGGCAUCACUGCCAUAGAGAUAGGAGUUAGCUGAACAAUGGAAUAGCCUACAAAGAUCUAGCAGUCGUGUUGGAUAGCUUGCGUCUCUAGUAGGAUCGAUGUGAAACUAUUAUGUAAGAUAAUUAUUGUUAUUUUUAAGUGUAUAUCAUAUCAUUGUUUAAAUAUAUUACAGCAUUGAAGCUGAUGUGAAGUACACACUGCUAUCAAUAUGUGCUUCGUCGAAAUAGACACAACGUUCCCCAACACCAACUUUUUGCCUAAUCUAAUCUAGAACCAAUGUGAAUCAAUAAUGAUUUUUCCUUUUUCUUUUUGCAGGACCACAUACAAGAAUAUUAGACCCCUCCUGCCACAUGAUCAGUUACAGUUUCAAUGAAACGGGUGGUAAAGCCAUAGUCACCAUCGAUGGGUAUAGGUUCCGAAGAUCCUCAGUACAGGGAUCGAGAAUCUACUGGAAAUGUUCCAGAGUCAAAACCAAAAAGUGCUCAGCCAGAAUUACCACUUCCGUUAAUAGUUCGAAAAUUUUCUACAGCAUUCGGCCUCACACUCAUCCACCGGACGUCUAGAAAUAAGUCAGUUGAAGAUUUGGGAAAAUAAAGCACAAUGAUGAAACUCACUGUGAUGGAAUCCGAGCCAUUUUGUGCAUCGAACUGUUCUAAAUGGUCGUUUCAAAUAUAUGUCUCUUGGCUCGUGCAGGGUAGCAACAUGGUAUUUCCGAUUGUAGAUGGCCCACCUAACUAGUGUUGGAUAUGAGAAUGGCGAUGGUCUUACAUGACUUCCACCGUUGCUGAUGUCUACUGGCGUUAUAUUGCACUCACAUUUUCUUUUCAUUUUUUUCAGGUUGCAAUCCGUGGGCAUUGAAUUUUGCAAACCGUACAAGAGGUUCCACAUUUAUAAAACGGCGAUCGAGAAUAUUGGAUCCGUCCUGCCAUACGAUCAGUCACGGUUUCAGCCAAAUGGGUAAAGUCAUAAUCACCAUCGAUGGGUACAGCUUCGGGAGGUCUUUCUCCCAGGGAACGAGAAUCUACUGGAAAUGCACCAAAGUCGUAAUCGAAAAGUGUCCUGCCAGAAUUACCACGUGUGUCAAUAGUUCCAAUAUAAUCCACGGUGUUCGGCCUCACAAUCAUCCACCGUACGUUUAGGGAUGAAUCACUAAAUGAUUUUGGAAAAUAAAGCGCAAUGACAAAGAUAUUUGCAGUGCUAAGCGUGAAUUUUGAACAGCUGUCUCCUCUCAUCAAUCAUAUCUAACACACAUAUAUUCAAUGUUCGUUUUCCUCAACAGCCGAAAUCGCAAGGAAGUACCAGAACCCUCCGGCGGAAGCAGAUAGCGAUAGCGAUGACGAUUUUGAUCGAUCAAAGUCCCUGCUUCCGUUGGAUCUGCGAGUGGUGAUGGGCCGUACGGGACGUCCAACGUUGCUGAUGGGUGGCCACGUUUUCACUCGCGAUAACACUCACAAAGAUAAAACCUACUGGUUGUGCUCGAAGAGUCGCUCGCUGAAGUGCCGCGCCCGGAUUAUUACCCUGAACAGUAGUGGAGGUCUGGUUCUCAAGAAUCAGAUUCAUAACCAUUCGGCGUGUGGAAAUCGCUAGCGUUGAUGUGAAAAUAAAGAAUGAAACAUUAGACUUUUUGUUUUUUUUUUAUCAUUUAUGCAUGCCGUACUAGAUUUUUCGAUUUCUCACUAACCACCGCCUAAUUCUCACCCCUCACAGGAAAUAUCGUCGCCAAGGAAAAGUCAACAGAAGAAUACAUUUAUUUCGUCCGCACCGCCGACGGUCGCUAUAAAAUUCAGGCAAAUGCCCCAAUCAAGAAGGAAAAAGCACAUCCACAGCCGAAAAUGGUUAAUACUGGAACCAGACUGAUCCGAUCUGGAACCAUCUUUCCCCUUAACGAAGGAACGGAAGUGGAACAGUUGGAACAACUUGUGAAGAAGGAUUCCACAAUCAGGCAGGAAUAUAUUGAUGUUCUAAAGCUCAAGCCUAGGGAUACCAAAAUCGUCCAUUACAUGCAUAACGUUUUCACGGACGAUUCACUUAUUGACUACAACUACAAUGGAGUUACCGUUGGUGGUCAAACUAAACGCGCCAUGCGAGUGUACGACAUAUUUUCCAAAUGCUUCAUGGAAGCGUACGCAGCGGAAGGACUCACAGACUCCGAGCUGGCCUUCCAGCUGACGUCGGCGAUCAAGCAAAGUCGAAACCGGAUGCGGCAGCGAAUGUUCCGCGCUAGGAAAAUUGUGAAAGCAAGUUUUGAAAAGAGACAGGGAACUUCAUUUGAGACUUGAUGAAUUUUUGUGUAUCCUAUUGACUCAAUUACUUAAAUUUCAGAGACGCUCAGCUUCUUUAUUGUUUUAGUGCUCUAAUCUUUUUUAAUUCGGUUCUAGAAUCAGUAGCUUUUUCGCGAUGAAUGAUAACAUGCUUUCUAUUUAUUUUUCAUCCUGAAGGCAGGUUUAUUUUAAAUUCAAAUAAUCACCAAUGAAUUGUAAACACUCUUUAAUUGAUACACUUCUUGUAAUGGAUAUUUCACCUUACCACUACGAUACCAUGCCUCAGAAGUACUUUAUUGAGUAGAAGUAAUGUUUAUAUCUGUUAAUGUUUUUAUAUCUGAAAAUCUGACACUUACAAAUUACACUGAUCUUUUUAAUUGUCCUUCCUGUGAAAAAAUAAAUAAAAACAAAACAAAACAAAAUUACCUGUUAGAGUAUAUUCUUCAGCAAAGCAAAUUCUAAAUUUACAUAAAAAUGUACUCAUUUUUUAAUAAAUUAACCAUGCCAACUCCUCCCCAUUCCAGACCAAGAGUUCAUGAUGAUAGAAAUCUGCUCCGAUGAAGCCACUCGGCAUGCCUCCGAUGAUGACCAAAGCAAAACAACGUCCUCCACUGGAGGUAAUACUGCAACAAGAUCACUUCGAUUAGCGGGAUUCACGUUUCCUCUGAAACGUGCAGAAGACAUCGAACGCUUGGAGAAAGCCGUCAGAGCAGAUCCGUUCAUUCGGAAAGAAUACAUUCGCUACGUGUCAUCUCGGGUGGGCGAUCGUCCUAAUAUUUCAACGCACAUCAGAGGGCUUUUCUGCGAUAGAUCUCUUGAGAAUUACACGUAUCAUGGGGUUAGCAAUCCGCAGUAUCCUCGGAAAGCAAUGAAAGACUACGACAUCUUCACCAACUGUUUGCUAGUUGCAUGGGAGGACGAUGGAAUCACGGCGGAUGAGCUUAGAAUGUCGCUGAUCAAGGCAACACAAAAAGCGAAGCAACAUUUAUCGUCGGCUCGGUACUACAAGCGCUACCGGGAACAGCUUCUAGAGAAACGGAAAGCCAGUUGGAAGAGCAAAAAGUUUACCUCCGAGUAGUUGCUAGUCAACUGUGUGGUAAAAUUUUGAAAAUUAAAUCUUGCAGAAAUAAAACGAACAAUCGACUGCAAUUUACCGGUGUUCUGGUACUUCAUUGAUCAAAUUGUCGUCAAAAUAUUCAUCACGGAUUUUUUUUCAAAUAUACAAAUGCCCAAUGUCCCUUGUACAUUGCCCAAUACUACGACUAAA